Molecule: ribosomal RNA, 483 nt
Filed under: uncultured bacterium
Lineage: Bacteria
Description: partial 16S ribosomal RNA
Rfam family: Bacterial small subunit ribosomal RNA
Source: RNAcentral
UUGAACGCUGGCGGCAUGCUUUACACAUGCAAGUCGAACGGCAGCGCGGGCUUCGGCCUGGCGGCGAGUGGCGAACGGGUGAGUAAUGCAUCGGAACGUGCCCAGUAGUGGGGGAUAGCCCGGCGAAAGCCGGAUUAAUACCGCAUACGACCUGAGGGUGAAAGCGGGGGACCGAAAGGCCUCGCGCUAUUGUAGCGGCCGAUGUCGGAUUAGCUAGUUGGUGGGGUAAAGGCUUACCAAGGCGACGAUCCGUAGCUGGUCUGAGAGGACGACCAGCCACACUGGGACUGAGACACGGCCCAGACUCCUACGGGAGGCAGCAGUGGGGAAUUUUGGACAAAGGGGGCAACCCUGAUCCAGCCAUGCCGCGUGCGGGAAGAAGGCCUUCGGGUUGUAAACCGCUUUUGUUCGGGAAGAAAUCCUCUGGGCUAAUACCCCGGGGGGAUGACGGUACCGGAAGAAUAAGCACCGGCUAACUACGUG